UUGCUAAGGGUGACGAGUGGAAAGUAGUCAACCUUGUGCACCCUCGAAACAUUUACCGGGCGGCUACACUUGGAGAGGCCAAAGACGAGGAAGAGGAUGUUGCGUAUCAAGAGCCCAACGCAAUAGGUAUUCCUAACUCCUCUACCGUUCGCCUUAAUAAUUUUAAAGCGGGUCGUUCGGUGCGAAUUCGUGAUGAAGAGCCAAGGCUUAUUGAUGUUGAUCCAAAUCAAGAAACAGACGAAGACUCUGGCGAUGAGGAAAGACAUAUAUUACCAGAAAUUAAUUCUGACACCGAAGAAGACUCAUCGGAUGAUUCCGAUUACGAGCCUUAGUUUUAAUUUAGAGGACUUAAUCCAUUAAUUUGUAUAACUAAAGACCUUUUCCUUUAUAGUUUAUAUAUGUUGAAUUCAUAUUUCAGUUAUUUUAUAUGAAUUUUGGUGAUACAUGAUGAACAGGAAGUUAGUAUGGUUUACUAAUAUCGUCUGUUUUUUUUAAUGUAUUUUUUUCCUUAAGCCGACGAAAUACACCAUAAUUCGUCGGCUAAAACCAUCUUAGCCGACGAAUUAUAGUGUAUUUCCUCGGCUAAACCCAUCUUAGCCGACGAAUGCCGACGAAUUAUAGUAUAUUUAGUCGGCUAAACCCAUCUUAGCCGACGAAAUAUAGUAUAUUUCGUCGGCUAAUAAAGUUUUAGCCGACGAAUAACCUAAUAUUUCGUCGGCUUUAGUUAUUUUUUAAUUUUUUAAUCACAUACUAUAGCCGACGAAUACGUUAGGGUAUUCGUCGGCUAAACCCUAAAAUUUUUCUAUUACCUACUAUAGCCCUAUCUUCGGUGGUUAUUUUCCGUAAAAUUUUUAGACGACUUCUUGCGUCUCAUCGGUUUGAAACUAUUUUCAGUUGGAGGUCUGGCCAAAAUACGUAAUUUAGACGGUCGAACGACCUUUUCCGUGCGUUUAGGGGUUUGACUUACAAGAUUGACCGUCCGGAUCGAGCCCCUAUUCUUUUCAGAUCAAGUUGAAUUUUUUCCCAUACAUGUAUUUUGUCAUGAUGGUCAGAUCUGACGGUCGGAUUUCUGUUUCUCAAGUUUGAUCAUCACAAUCACAACAUGCAUACUAAUGUUGUAUAACUUGUUUACCAAGUGUUAUGUAAAUGUUCCGUUUCAAAAACAAACUAUAAGUAAAACCUUCAAACGCCAAAAAGUCAUGAAAUAAGAUAUGACGAGAAUGUUGAAAUACAUCCACGGUUGAAAAAUCACACUAUUCCGGUAAAUAUUCGGUGCCGAUAGUU
This 1284-nucleotide long non-coding RNA is filed under the name Fragaria vesca (wild strawberry). Its description in RNAcentral is "long non-coding RNA (FVES_LNC004429)". The record is from RNAcentral. Lineage: Eukaryota; Viridiplantae; Streptophyta; Magnoliopsida; Rosales; Rosaceae.